Jaculus jaculus (lesser Egyptian jerboa) is the source of this 189-nucleotide small nuclear RNA. RefSeq annotates it as U2 spliceosomal RNA. The record is from RefSeq and is a predicted model, not a curated record. Lineage: Eukaryota; Metazoa; Chordata; Mammalia; Rodentia; Dipodidae. The transcript has a single exon.
AUCGCUUCUCGGCCUUUAGGUAAGAUCAAGUAUAGUAUACUUUCCUAUCAGUUUAAUAUCUGAUACACCCUCUAUCUGAGGACAAUAUAUUAAAUGGAUUUUGGAGCUCAGAGUUGGAAUAGAGGCUUCCUCCAUCCACUCCAUGCAUCAACCUGGUAUUGCAGUACCUCUAGGAACGGUGCACCCCUU